Molecule: long non-coding RNA, 656 nt
Filed under: Phasianus colchicus (ring-necked pheasant)
Lineage: Eukaryota; Metazoa; Chordata; Aves; Galliformes; Phasianidae
Description: lncRNA (ENSPCLG00000016960.1)
Source: RNAcentral
UUACCCCCUCACCUCCCCCUCCCCCAAAUUUAGGCUCUCUCAUCGUGGCAGCCGGCUGCUUCAUCCCCCUCCGCUCGGUGCGCCGGCUGACCCUUCACCGCGGCGGUUCCACCGUCACCAUUUGCACUCACGGCCCCAUGGGUUUGGGUCGGGGCCGUUCCCUCACCGUCCCCCUCCGCCACCUGUCGUGCCGUUCUCACCGCUCCGACGUCCGUGCCUCCAUCCCCCUCAAGGUGAAGGGCAGGGUUGCUUUCUUCCUCCUGGAUGCUCGGGGGCAGCUCGACAACCCGCGCCUCUUCGAUGUCACUGUCGGCGCUUACCGCAAGCUGUAGGGGCUGCCGCCUGACAGCGGGGGGGUGUUGGCACCCCCGAGGUGUUGGCACCCCCAAAUGUCACCUCUUGAGCUUACGUCACUUCCGGCGUGGCGCCAACCAAGAUGGCGACGCGCAUCCGGGUUGCAGCGAUCCCGGAGGAGAACCGUGCGGUUCGGGCGCAGCUCCUGCCGUGCUCCGUUCGCUAUAACGGCCCUGCGCCCGUCCGCGCGUUCCUCAGGGCCCGGCCCGGCCCCGGCGGCGGUGAGGAUUGAGGGCGGGGGGGAGGGGGUCGCUAUGGGGCCUUUGGGGGUCUGUGGGGCGCCCCUGUGGGGGUAUGGAGGG